RNAcentral lists this ribosomal RNA (498 nucleotides) under uncultured bacterium. RNAcentral's name for it is "partial 16S ribosomal RNA". It matches the Rfam family "Bacterial small subunit ribosomal RNA", at positions 30 to 523 of the family's 1533-position model. The record is from RNAcentral.
AUUGAACGCUGGCGGCAUGCCUUACACAUGCAAGUCGAACGGUAACAGGUCUUCGGAUGCUGACGAGUGGCGAACGGGUGAGUAAUACAUCAGAACGUGCCUAGUAGUGGGGGAUAACUACUCGAAAGAGUGGCUAAUACCGCAUGAGAUCUACGGAUGAAAGCAGGGGAUCGCAAGACCUUGUGCUACUAGAGCGGCCGAUGGCAGAUUAGGUAGUUGGUGGGAUAAAAGCUUACCAAGCCGACGAUCUGUAGCUGGUCUGAGAGGACGAUCAGCCAAACUGGGACUGAGACACGGCCCAGACUCCUAGGGGAGGCAGCAGUGGGGAAUUUUGGACAGUGGGCGAAAGCCUGAUCCAGCAAUGCCGCGUGCAGGAUGAAGGCCUUCGGGUUGUAAACUGCUUUUGUACGGAACGAAAAGCCCCGGGUUAAUACCCUGGGGUCAUGACGGUACCGUAAGAAUAAGCACCGGCUAACUACGUGCCAGCCGCCGCUGUAA